Molecule: ribosomal RNA, 381 nt
Filed under: Lineacoelotes sp. CL092
Lineage: Eukaryota; Metazoa; Arthropoda; Arachnida; Araneae; Agelenidae
Description: partial 16S ribosomal RNA
Source: RNAcentral
CUCAAUGAAAAUUAAAUAGCCGCAAUAUUUUGUGCUAAGGUAGCAUAAUCAUUUGUUUUUUAAUUAAAAACUAGAAUGAAAGAUUUAACAAUUUUAUUUCUCUCUUACAUAUAAAAAUUCAAUUUAUUUUAAUUAUAAAAAAAUAAUUAUAUAUAAAAAAGACGACAAGACCCUAUUGAACUUAACUAAAGUUUAACUGGGGUAGUUAAUUAAAUAUAAUUUUAAUUUUAAUUUUAAAAUUACUCUAAUACAAUUAAAAUAAUCAAGUUACCAUAGGGAUAACAGCGUAAUAAUUUUCUAAAGACCUUAUUUAAAAAAUCGUUUACGACCUCGAUGUUGAAUUAAUAAUCUAUUAAAUGUAACAAUUUAAAAAUGAAAGUC